UAGUAGUAGUUAUGUGCUUGAAAAUUAAAGAAGAUGGCGGUAUUUUAGUCUAUUCAGAGGAACCUGUCCUAUAAUCGAUGAUCCACGAUUUAUUAUACUUAUUUUAUAAGUUUGCAUAUCGCCGUAGAUUGAAUGUCCUUUAAGGGAUUUAAACAUUCAAGAGGUUUUUAUUGUGAAAUUAAAUCAGGUCAAGAUGUAGCCAAUAAAUAAGAAGAGAUGGGUUACAAUAAAUUUAUUUAUAACGGAUUAAUAUAUGAAAUUUAUUAUAAAGGUGGAUUUGAGGGUAAU
This 288-nucleotide ribosomal RNA is filed under the name Galapaganus caroli. RNAcentral's name for it is "partial 12S ribosomal RNA". Lineage: Eukaryota; Metazoa; Arthropoda; Insecta; Coleoptera; Curculionidae. The record is from RNAcentral.